GACGAACGCUGGCGGCGUGCUUAACACAUGCAAGUCGAACGGAAAGGCCCCUUUGGGGGUACUCGGGUGGCGAACGGGGGGGUAACACGUGAGUAACCUGCCCUUGACUGCUGGAUAACUUCAGGAAACUGGGGCGAAUACCGGAUAGGAAUCCUUUCUGCAUGGGGGGGGUUGGAAAGCUGCGGCGGUUUUGGGUGGUGUUGCGGCCGAUCAGCUUGUUGGUGGGGUAGUGGUUUAACAAGGCUGUGGCGGGUAGCCGGCCUGGGAGGGCGACCGGCAUCAGUGGGACUGGGACACGGCCCCGACUCCGACGGGUGGCAGAAGUGGGGAAGAUUGAUCAAGGGGCGGGAGCCUGAUGCAGAACCGCCGCGGGCGGGAGGACGGUCUUCGCGUUGUAAACCGAUUUCAGCAGGGGCCAAGCUUGUAGUGACGGUACCUGCAGAAGAAGCACCGGCUAACUCCGUG
This 465-nucleotide ribosomal RNA is filed under the name uncultured bacterium. RNAcentral's name for it is "partial 16S ribosomal RNA". It matches the Rfam family "Bacterial small subunit ribosomal RNA", at positions 28 to 507 of the family's 1533-position model. The record is from RNAcentral.